CAAUAGCGUAUAUUUAAGUUGUUGCAGUUAAAAAGCUCGUAGUUGGAUUUCGGAUGGGAUUUGCCGGUCCGUCGUUACGAUGUGCACUGGCCAGUCCUAUCUUGUUGUCGGGGACUAGCUCCUUGGAUUCACUUCCUGGGACUAGGAGCUGACGAGGUUACUUUGAGUAAAUUAGAGUGUUCAAAGCAAGCCUACGCUCUGAAUACAUUAGCAUGGAAUAACACGAUAGGACUCUGGCUUAUCUUGUUGGUCUGUGAGACCAGAGUAAUGAUUAAGAGGGACAGUCGGGGACAUUCGUAUUUCAUUGUCAGAGGUGAAAUUCUUGGAUUUAUGAAAGACGAACUUCUGCGAAAGCAUUUGUCAGGGAUGUUUUCAUUAA
This 379-nucleotide ribosomal RNA is filed under the name uncultured eukaryote. Its description in RNAcentral is "partial 18S ribosomal RNA". It matches the Rfam family "Eukaryotic small subunit ribosomal RNA", at positions 592 to 976 of the family's 1831-position model. The record is from RNAcentral.